RNAcentral lists this unclassified non-coding RNA (332 nucleotides) under soil metagenome. RNAcentral describes it as "partial contains 5.8S ribosomal RNA, internal transcribed spacer 2, and large subunit ribosomal RNA". The stretch from base 1 to 120 matches the Rfam family "5.8S ribosomal RNA", at positions 35 to 154 of the family's 154-position model. The record is from RNAcentral.
GAUGAAGAACGUAGCGAAAUGCGAUAAGUAGUGUGAAUUGCAGAAUUCAGUGAAUCAUCGAAUCUUUGAACGCACAUUGCGCCCUUUGGUAUUCCUUAGGGCAUGCCUGUUCGAGCGUCAUUUAAACCUUCAAGCUAAGCUUGGUGUUGGGUGACUGUCCGCUUCACGGCGGACUCGCCUCAAAAUUAUUGGCGGCCGGUACAUUGGCUUCGAGCGCAGCAGAAACGCGAACUCUGGCCCGUCGUAUUGGCUCCCAGAAGCUAUCUUCACAAUUUUGACCUCGGAUCAGGUAGGGAUACCCGCUGAACUUAAGCAUAUCAAUAAGCGGAGGA